UAGGGAAUCUUCGGCAAUGGACGAAAGUCUGACCGAGCAACGCCGCGUGAGUGAAGAAUGUUUUCGGAUCGUAAAACUCUGUUGUUAGAGAAGAACAAGGACGUUAGUAACUGAACGUCCCCUGACGGUAUCUAACCAGAAAGCCACGGCUAACUACGUGCCAGCAGCCGCGGUAAUACGUAGGUGGCAAGCGUUUUCCGGAUUUAUUGGGCGUAAAGCGAGCGCAGGCGGUUUCUUAAGUCUGAUGUGAAAGCCCCCGGCUCAACCGGGGAGGGUCAUUGGAAACUGGGAGACUUGAGUGCAGAAGAGGAGAGUGGAAUUCCAGGUGUAGCGGUGAAAUGCGUAGAUAUAUGGAGGAACACCAGUGGCGAAGGCGGCUCUCUGGUCUGUAACUGACGCUGAGGCUCGAAAGCGUGGGGAGCAAACAGG
Molecule: ribosomal RNA, 429 nt
Filed under: Gemmatimonadota bacterium
Lineage: Bacteria; Pseudomonadati; Gemmatimonadota
Description: Gemmatimonadetes bacterium partial 16S ribosomal RNA
Rfam family: Bacterial small subunit ribosomal RNA
Source: RNAcentral